Non-coding RNA from Paramuricea clavata, 228 nucleotides. NCBI's taxonomy places the organism in Eukaryota, Metazoa, Cnidaria, Anthozoa, Malacalcyonacea, Plexauridae. The record is from the annotation of a GenBank genome assembly.
CUGUCACUCCAAGUAAUUUGUCGAUAGCAACUGUUUUUGAAAUUGUUUCAUGGUCAAGAAAUGGAAACAUCUCACUGAUAUGCUGUAGCUGUGAUGUCGCUGUCUCGCCAUCACUAGGACUUUGCUCCAAACACCUGGUUCCUGAAUAUUGUGUUGGCAAGCAUGAUGGACUACUGAAAGAUGAUGGCUGAGGAAUGUAGUUUCUUAUAUCAUAGGAUGAGACAGAUU